GAUGAACGCUAGCUACAGGCUUAACACAUGCAAGUCGAGGGGAAACGACAUCGAAAGCUUGCUUUUGAUGGGCGUCGACCGGCGCACGGGUGAGUAACGCGUAUCCAACCUGCCCAUCACUUGGGAAUAACCUUGCGAAAGUAAGACUAAUACCCAAUGAUAUCCCACGAAGGCAUCGGAAUGGGAUUAAAGAUUUAUCGGUGAUGGAUGGGGAUGCGUCUGAUUAGCUUGUUGGCGGGGUAACGGCCCACCAAGGCAACGAUCAGUAGGGGUUCUGAGAGGAAGGUCCCCCACAUUGGAACUGAGACACGGUCCAAACUCCUACGGGAGGCAGCAGUGAGGAAUAUUGGUCAAUGGGCGAGAGCCUGAACCAGCCAAGUAGCGUGCAGGAAGACGGCCCUAUGGGUUGUAAACUGCUUUUAUAAGGGAAUAAAGUGGGUCACGUGUGACUUUUUGCAUGUACCUUAUGAAUAAGGACCGACUAAUUCCGUG
This 492-nucleotide ribosomal RNA is filed under the name uncultured bacterium. Its description in RNAcentral is "partial 16S ribosomal RNA". It matches the Rfam family "Bacterial small subunit ribosomal RNA", at positions 28 to 507 of the family's 1533-position model. The record is from RNAcentral.